UACGUAGGGCGCAAGCGUUGUCCGGAAUUAUUGGGCGUAAAGAGCUCGUAGGCGGUCUGUUACGUCCGCUGUGAAAACCCAGGGCUUAACCCUGGGCUUGCAGUGGAUACGGGUAGACUAGAGGCAGGUAGGGGAGAAUGGAAUUCCCGGUGUAGCGGUGAAAUGCGCAGAUAUCGGGAGGAACACCGGUGGCGAAGGCGGCUCUCUGGGACGGUACUGACGCUGAGACGCGAAAGCGUGGGGAGCGAACAGG
Molecule: ribosomal RNA, 253 nt
Filed under: uncultured bacterium
Lineage: Bacteria
Description: partial 16S ribosomal RNA
Rfam family: Bacterial small subunit ribosomal RNA
Source: RNAcentral